This 375-nucleotide ribosomal RNA is filed under the name Octobunus sp. RNAcentral describes it as "partial large subunit ribosomal RNA". It matches the Rfam family "Bacterial large subunit ribosomal RNA", at positions 1833 to 2600 of the family's 2925-position model. Lineage: Eukaryota; Metazoa; Arthropoda; Arachnida; Opiliones; Assamiidae. The record is from RNAcentral.
GUUAUUUGAAGUAUAAGUAAUCUCGCCUGCUCAAUGUUAAAUGGCUGCAGUAUCCUGACUGUACAAAGGUAGCAUAAUCAAUUGCCUUUUAAUUGGAGGCUGGAAUGAAUGGUGGAACAGGGAGGACAGUUUUAUAACUUGAAUUUAAAUUAAUUGUAAAAAUGCAAUUAUUGUUCUUUGGGACGAGAAGACCCUAGAAGCUGGAGGGGCCUGUUGGUUGGGGCGACUGGUGAAUAUAUUAAACUUUAUAUAAGUUACUCUAGGGAUAACAGCGUUAUUAAAAUUAGGAGUUCUAAUUUGAAUUUUAGUUUGCGACCUCGAUGUUGAAUUAAAGGGUGAAGGAGCUCUAGCCUGUUCGGCUAUUAAAUAUUUACA